Molecule: long non-coding RNA, 1029 nt
Filed under: Homo sapiens (human)
Lineage: Eukaryota; Metazoa; Chordata; Mammalia; Primates; Hominidae
Description: HSALNT0177920
Source: RNAcentral
GAUGAAGCAGACCAGGGAAAGGACAUGAGCAUGGAGUGGGGUGUGGUUAGGAGCUGUUCAGGAAGCUUGGUGAUUGGGCUCGCCAAGCAGGACGACAUUGGAUUAUGCCCACGUUCAUGGCUUGGGGGCCUGAGUGGGGGGCGUUCCUAUUCACUGAAAUGGGAGAUGCAGGAGGAAGAACAGAGAAGUGGGCUUAGAUUGGGACGUGUUUGCUGUGAAGCAGCCAUGGGCAUCUGGUGGGGAUGGGACAUCUGGGUCUGGGCAUUGCCACUAUGAGGAGCUAUUAGGAGAAGCCAGGGGAGUGGACUGAAAGGAAGGCCCAGGUCAAGUGCUUUCCUUGGUACCUCUGAAAAAUCAGAGAGAUGGGCUGCUUGACCUCAUCUGCUUGUAGUAAGGAUGGGAAAUGGUCACUUUCAAAAAGGGCUGGACAAAAUGCCUUCUAGCGUGAAGGACUGUACCUCAGCAGGUUUCCUUUCCAUAGCAAGCUGCCUCGUACCCAGCCAGACGGCACCAGCGUCCCUGGAGAACCAGCCUCACCUAUCUCCCAGCGCCUGCCCCCCAAGGUAGAAUCCCUGGAGAGUCUCUACUUCACUCCCAUCCCUGCUCGGAGUCAGGCCCCCCUGGAGAGCAGCCUGGACUCCCUGGGAGACGUCUUCCUGGACUCGGGUCGUAAGACCCGCUCCGCUCGUCGGCGCACCACGCAGAUCAUCAACAUCACCAUGACCAAGAAGCUAGAUGUGGAAGAGCCAGACAGCGCCAACUCAUCGUUCUACAGCACGCGGUCUGCUCCUGCUUCCCAGGCUAGCCUGCGAGCCACCUCCUCUACUCAGUCUCUAGCUCGCCUGGGUUCUCCCGAUUAUGGCAACUCAGCCCUGCUCAGCUUGCCUGGCUACCGCCCCACCACUCGCAGUUCUGCUCGUCGUUCCCAGGCCGGGGUGUCCAGUGGGGCCCCUCCAGGGAGAAGGUGGUGAGCAAGCCCCUAGGAUAGAAAUAGUCUGUGUGCCGUACUCCUGCACCUGCGGCACUGAA